GAGUUUGAUCCUGGCUCAGGAUGAACGCUAGCGAUAGGCCUUACACAUGCAAGUCGAGGGGCAGCACAUGAAAAAGUAGCAAUACAAUUUCUGGUGGCGACCGGCGCACGGGUGAGUAACGCGUAUGCAACCUACCUACUACUUUGGGAUAGCUCGUUGAAAGACGAAUUAAUACCUUAUAAUACAGGGACUCCGCAUGGAGAUAUUUGUUAAAGAUUUAUUGGUAGUAGAUGGGCAUGCGUUCCAUUAGUUAGUUGGCGAGGUAACGGCUCACCAAGACAACGAUGGAUAGGGGAACUGAGAGGUUUAUCCCCCACACUGGAACUGAGACACGGUCCAGACUCCUACGGGAGGCAGCAGUGAGGAAUAUUGGUCAAUGGAGGCAACUCUGAACCAGCCAAGUCGCGUGAAGGAUGACUGCCCUACGGGUUGUAAACUUCUUUUUUAAGGGAAUAAAGUGAGCCACGAGUGGCUUUUUGCAUGUACCUUACGAAUAAGGAUCGGCUAACUCCGUGCCAGCAGCCGCGGUAAUAC
RNAcentral lists this ribosomal RNA (534 nucleotides) under uncultured bacterium. RNAcentral describes it as "bacterial SSU rRNA". It matches the Rfam family "Bacterial small subunit ribosomal RNA", at positions 9 to 526 of the family's 1533-position model. The record is from RNAcentral.